GCUCUUGUUGUGCAGGGAAUAACUCCUAUCAGCAGCAAGGUCCCGACUGAAGUAGCAGCUGCAGUUGUUCCUGUGGUGUGGGCCAGUGGACUUGCAGGAGAGUGGAAGAGGGCAGAAGCUGUAGGACGUGAAUGCAAGAACCUGCCAAGAAACCAAUGGCCAAGAUGACUGAUUAGUGCAGAACCUGAGAGAACCACCACGAAUGACAACCUCGAGCAGUUUGCAGUAUUGGAUUUAAAAGAUGGCCUUUGCUGCAUCUCCUGGAGCAAGGAAAGCCAAGAAACCUUUGCUUUUGAAGGAGAAAAUCUGCAAAGUGGGAAGGAA
Long non-coding RNA from Corapipo altera (White-ruffed manakin), 324 nucleotides. RefSeq lists it as uncharacterized. Lineage: Eukaryota; Metazoa; Chordata; Aves; Passeriformes; Pipridae. The record is from RefSeq and is a predicted model, not a curated record. The transcript has 2 exons.